RNAcentral lists this ribosomal RNA (719 nucleotides) under uncultured fungus. RNAcentral's name for it is "eukaryotic LSU rRNA". The stretch from base 235 to 388 matches the Rfam family "5.8S ribosomal RNA". The record is from RNAcentral. Lineage: Eukaryota; Fungi.
AAUAAACCUGAUGAGUUGCUGCUGGCUCUUUGGGGAGCAUGUGCACACUUGUCAUCUUUAUAUCUUCACCUGUGCAUCUUUUGUAGAUCUGGAUAUCUCUCUGAAUGCCUAGUAAUUCAGGUUUGAGGAUUGACUUUAUUGUCUUUCUUUACAUUUCCAGGCCUAUGUUUCUUAAUAUACCCAAUGUAUGUCUUAGAAUGUAAUAAAUGGGUCUUUGUGCCUAUAAAUCUAUACAACUUUCAGCAACGGAUCUCUUGGCUCUUGCAUCGAUGAAGAACGCAGCGAAAUGCGAUAAGUAAUGUGAAUUGCAGAAUUCAGUGAAUCAUCGAAUCUUUGAACGCACCUUGCGCACCUUGGUAUUCUGAGGAGCAUGCCUGUUUGAGUGUCAUUAAUAUAUAUAUAUCAACCUUUGCAACUUUUGUUUGUUGAGUUGUUGGAUGUGGGGGGUUUCUUGCUGGCUUCUCUGAGGUCAGCUCCCCUGAAAUAUAUUAGCAGAAUGAUUCCUGUUCAUUGGUGUGAUAACUAUCUACGCCAUUAACAUGAAGUAGUUUGGCUUAUAAUGGUCUAUUGACUUGGACAAAUUUUCAUUAAUGUGACCUCAAAUCAGGUAGGACUACCCGCUGAACUUAAGCAUAUCAAUAAGCGGAGGAAAAGAAACUAACAAGGAUUCCCCUAGUAACUGCGAGUGAAGCGGGAAAAGCUCAAAUUUGGAAUCUGGC